This 292-nucleotide ribosomal RNA is filed under the name uncultured bacterium. Its description in RNAcentral is "partial 16S ribosomal RNA". It matches the Rfam family "Bacterial small subunit ribosomal RNA", at positions 505 to 796 of the family's 1533-position model. The record is from RNAcentral.
GUGCCAGCAGCCGCGGUAAUACGGAGGGGGCCAGCGUUGUUCGGAAUCAUUGGGCGUAAAGGGCGCGUAGGCGGCCACGCAAGUCGGAUGUGAAAUCCCUCGGCUCAACCGAGGAACUGCAUCCGAAACUGCGAGGCUCGAGUCCUGGAGAGGGUAGUGGAAUUCCCAGUGUAGCGGUGAAAUGCGUAGAUACUGGGAGGAACACCGGUGGCGAAGGCGGCUACCUGGACAGGUACUGACGCUGAUGCGCGAAAGCCAGGGGAGCAAACAGGAUUAGAUACCCUGGUAGUCC